AGAGGGACCUUGCGUUACUUAGUGUUGUGGUGCCAAAUGUGAACUAUUUUCCUGUUGUGAGACUUUCUUCUGCAAUUGAUAAGCCUCCUGAAACCAUUGUUGUUUUGGUUGGAUAUUAUCAUCCGGCUAAUGCCUUGGCAAAGGAGUUAGGUGAAAGGAAUCUUCUUCCUACUAUGCCUUCAGCUGUUGCUGGAACUAUUCUAGGACCAACGGUGAAUCAGGGUAAAAUGUUAUUGGUUAAUCACGGCUGCCAUGGCAUGAGAGGUACCUCAGGAAGCCCUCUUAUAUGUCAUGAUACUGGUGGUGCUAUUGGUGUGUUUCUAGGAACUGUGAGUCAGUAUCAUCAGGCUGUCGCUACUGAAACUGUCAUUGAGUUCUUGAAAGAGUGGCUUGUGGCUAAUCAUGCCAUUGUGAACAACGAUGAUGGCAUCAAUGAUACAGUUGAAAACUGUGUGAAGCUUCUCUAGUGUUGUGGUUGUCUUGAUCAAAAUCAUAUCCGAGAAGAGGUGGAUGAUGAAAACGAGGCUACCGCUGCAACAUGUGUGAACCUCACUUAACCUUGAACUGUGCUUUGCUCCUCUGUGCCCGGAUAAUAUUAGGUUGAAACACAUAAACUGAAAUCAUGGUUUUCUCAUUUAUUUAUGUAAUAAUAAUAUUAGGCUGAACCACUUAACUAGCCAUGUGAUAGCCAUGUGAUGUGUUUGAGUAUCUUUCAAUUAUCCUGAGUCUAUGUACUGUAAUGUAUUAGAACCUUGUUGUGGUUGAGAUUGUUGAACUGAUGUAUCUGUAACUGUAGUUUAUGGCACAUGGAAGCAAAGUAAUUGAUGGCUCGGUCUAA
Molecule: long non-coding RNA, 838 nt
Organism: Setaria italica (foxtail millet)
Lineage: Eukaryota; Viridiplantae; Streptophyta; Magnoliopsida; Poales; Poaceae
Exons: 4
Source: RefSeq, a predicted model, not a curated record